AACGAACGCUGGCGGCAUGCCUAACACAUGCCAGUCGAACGAGACCUUCGGGUCUAGUGGCGCACGGGUGCGUAACGCGUGGGAACCUGCCCUUAGGUUCGGAAUAACUCCCCGAAAGGGGUGCUAAUACCGGAUAAUGUCUUCGGACCAAAGAUUUAUCGCCUUUGGAUGGGCCCGCGUUGGAUUAGCUAGUUGGUAGGGUAAAAGCCUACCAAGGCGACGAUCCAUAGCUGGUCUGAGAGGAUGAUCAGCCACACUGGGACUGAGACACGGCCCAGACUCCUACGGGAGGCAGCAGUGGGGAAUAUUGGACAAUGGGCGAAGGCCUGAUCCAGCAAUGCCGCGUGAGUGAUGAAGGCCUUAGGGUUGUAAAGCUCUUUUACCCGGGAUGAUAAUGACAGUACCGGGAGAAUAAGCGCCGGCUAACUCCGUG
RNAcentral lists this ribosomal RNA (433 nucleotides) under uncultured bacterium. Its description in RNAcentral is "partial 16S ribosomal RNA". It matches the Rfam family "Bacterial small subunit ribosomal RNA", at positions 29 to 507 of the family's 1533-position model. The record is from RNAcentral.